This 485-nucleotide ribosomal RNA is filed under the name uncultured Sphingobacteriales bacterium. RNAcentral's name for it is "bacterial SSU rRNA". It matches the Rfam family "Bacterial small subunit ribosomal RNA", at positions 896 to 1382 of the family's 1533-position model. Lineage: Bacteria; Pseudomonadati; Bacteroidota; Sphingobacteriia; Sphingobacteriales. The record is from RNAcentral.
GAAACUUCAAGGAAUUGACGGGGGCCCCGCACAAGCGGUGGAGCAUGUGGUUUAAUUCGAUGAUACGCGAGGAACCUUACCUGGGCUCAAAUGUAUGUUGACGUAUUCUGAAAGGGAUACUUCUUCGGACAAUAUACAAGGUGCUGCAUGGUUGUCGUCAGCUCGUGCCGUGAGGUGUCGGGUUAAGUCCCAUAACGAGCGCAACCCCUAUCAUUAGUUGCCAUCAGGUCAAGCUGGGGACUCUAAUGAAACUGCCUACGCAAGUAGUGAGGAAGGCGGGGAUGACGUCAAAUCAGCACGGCCCUUACGUCCAGGGCUACACACGUGCUACAAUGGCCGAUACAGAGGGCAGCUACCUGGUGACAGGAUGCAAAUCUCCAAAGUCGGUCUCAGUUCGGAUCGGAGUCUGCAACCCGACUCCGUGAAGUUGGAUUCGCUAGUAAUCGCGCAUCAGCCAUGGCGCGGUGAAUACGUUCCCGGGCCUU